This 797-nucleotide ribosomal RNA is filed under the name uncultured eukaryote. RNAcentral describes it as "SSU rRNA". It matches the Rfam family "Eukaryotic small subunit ribosomal RNA", at positions 602 to 1424 of the family's 1831-position model. The record is from RNAcentral.
GGUUUAGGUUGUUGCAGUUAGAACGCUCGUAGUCGGAUUUCGGGGCGGGCCGACCGGUCUGCCGAUGGGUACGCACUGGUCGGCGCGUCCUUCCUUCCGGAGACCGUGCCUACUCUUAACUGAGCGGGGGCGGGAGACGGAACGUUUACUUUGAAAAAAUCAGAGUGUUUCAAGCAGGCAGCUCGCUCUUGCAUGGAUUAGCAUGGGAUAAUGAAAUAGGACUUUGGUGCUAUUUUGUUGGUUUCGAACACCGAAGUAAUGAUGAGAAGGGACAGUCAGGGGCACUCGUAUUCCGCCGAGAGAGGUGAAAUUCUCAGACCAGCGGAAGACGAACCACUGCGAAAGCAUUUGCCAGGGAUGUUUUCACUGAUCAAGAACGAAAGUUAGGGGAUCGAAGACGAUCAGAUACCGUCGUAGUCUUAACCAUAAACCAUACCGACUAGGGAUUGGAGGAUGUUCACUGAUUGACUCCUUCAGCACCUUACGGGAAACUAAAGUCUUUGGGUUCCGGGGGGAGUAUGGUCGCAAGGCUGAAACUUAAAGGAAUUGACGGAAGGGCACCACCAGGUGUGGAGCCUGCGGCUUAAUUUGACUCAACACGGGGAAACUUACCAGGUCCAGACAUUGUGAGGAUUGACAGAUUGAGAGCUCUUUCUUGAUUUGAUGGGUGGUGGUGCAUGGCCGUUCUUAGUUGGUGGAGUGAUUUGUCUGGUUAAUUCCGUUAACGAACGAGACCUUAGCCUGCUAAAUAGUGACGCGAACACUUCGUUCGCGGGCCACUUCUUAGAGGGACAACU